GGGAACCCCCACCCCGGCUCGCUCAUUCCCCCGGGGCUGUUUUGUGCCCUCGCGCCCCUUCUGCGCCGGCCUCCCCCCACGCGGCGGUUCGGCGCUGACGCUACCCCGCUGCGCGUGAUCUGCCCUGCACUUCGGGAUACGCCUGGCGCACAACUGGGUCUAACUACCGGCAUAUGACCUCCUUAUCGCCAUGGUGGCGUGGUGCGCAACACGCAUUUAUCGGUGCAGCGAUGCGGCCCGCGGCCUAUCAGCUCUUGCUUCGGUGCGCGGUAACUGGCCUACCACAGGCCGACGAACGGGUAGCCGACCUGAGAGGGUGACCGGCCACACUGGGACUGAGAACACGGCCCACACUCCUACGGGCAGGCACGCAGUGGGGAAUAUUGCACAAUGGGCAGAAAGCCUGAUGCAGCGACGCCGCGUGAGGGAUGACGGCCAAGCCAAACAUUUGGAGAAAGUGUGUACCCUGCUUCGCGUUCACUGCCAUGGACUGUCUUCUUUCGUCCGGCUAACUACGUGCCAGCAGCCGCGGUAAUACGUAGGGUUGCAAGCGUUGUCCGGAAUUACUGGGCGUAAAGAGUUCGUAGGCGGUUUGUCGCGUCGUUUGUGAAAACCAGCAGCUCAACUGCUGGCUUGCAGGCGAUACGGGCAGACUUGAGUACUGCAGGGGAGACUGGAAUUCCUGGUGUAGCGGUGAAAUGCGCAGAUAUCAGGAGGAACACCGGUGGCGAAGGCGGGUCUCUGGGCAGUAACUGACGCUGAGGAACGAAAGCGUGGGUAGCGAACAGGAUUAGAUACCCUGGUAGUCCACGCCGUAAACGGUGGGCGCUAGGUGUGGGUUCCUUCCACGGAAUCCGUGCCGUAGCUAACGCAUUAAGCGCCCCGCCUGGGGAGUACGGCCGCAAGGCUAAAACUCAAAGGAAUUGACGGGGGCCCGCACAAGCGGCGGAGCAUGUGGAUUAAUUCGAUGCAACGCGAAGAACCUUACCUGGGUUUGACAUAUACCGGAAAGCUGCAAAUUAGUGUGGCCCCCCUUGUGGUCGAUAUAC
RNAcentral lists this ribosomal RNA (1049 nucleotides) under uncultured Rhodococcus sp. RNAcentral's name for it is "bacterial SSU rRNA". It matches the Rfam family "Bacterial small subunit ribosomal RNA", at positions 1 to 1035 of the family's 1533-position model. The record is from RNAcentral. Lineage: Bacteria; Bacillati; Actinomycetota; Actinomycetes; Mycobacteriales; Nocardiaceae.